This 501-nucleotide ribosomal RNA is filed under the name uncultured bacterium. Its description in RNAcentral is "partial 16S ribosomal RNA". It matches the Rfam family "Bacterial small subunit ribosomal RNA", at positions 30 to 523 of the family's 1533-position model. The record is from RNAcentral.
AUUGAACGCUGGCGGCAGGCUUAACACAUGCAAGUCGAGCGGGGGAAGGUAGCUUGCUACCGGACCUAGCGGCGGACGGGUGAGUAAUGCUUAGGAAUCUGCCUAUUAGUGGGGGACAACAUCUCGAAAGGGAUGCUAAUACCGCAUACGUCCUACGGGAGAAAGCAGGGGAUCUUCGGACCUUGCGCUAAUAGAUGAGCCUAAGUCGGAUUAGCUAGUUGGUGGGGUAAAGGCCUACCAAGGCGACGAUCUGUAGCGGGUCUGAGAGGAUGAGCCGCCAGACUGGGACUGAGACACGGCCCAGACUCCUACGGGAGGCAGCAGUGGGGAAUAUUGGACAAUGGGGGGAACCCUGAUCCAGCCAUGCCGCGUGUGUGAAGAAGGCCUUAUGGUUGUAAAGCACUUUAAGCGAGGAGGAGGCUACUUUAGUUAAUACCUAGAGAUAGUGGACGUUACUCGCAGAAUAAGCACCGGCUAACUCUGUGCCAGCCGCCGCGGUAA